UAACAGGGAUUCCCCUAGUAACUGCGAGUGAAGCGGGAAAAGCUCAAAUUUAAAAUCUGGUGGUCUUUGGCCAUCCGAGUUGUAAUUUAGAGAAGCGUCUUCCGCGCUGGACCGUGCACAAGUCUCCUGGAAUGGAGCGUCAUAGAGGGUGAGAAUCCCGUCUUUGGCACGGAUGUACCAGGGCUUUUGUGAUGCGCUCUCGAAGAGUCGAGUUGUUUGGGAAUGCAGCUCAAAAUGGGUGGUGAACUCCAUCUAAAGCUAAAUAUUGGCGAGAGACCGAUAGCGAACAAGUACCGUGAGGGAAAGAUGAAAAGCACUUUGGAAAGAGAGUGAAACAGUACGUGAAAUUGUUGAAAGGGAAACGCUUGAAGUCAGUCGCGUCGACCGAGACUCAGCCUUGCCUCGGCUUGGUGUACUUCUCGGCUGACGGGUCAGCAUCAAUUUUGCCCCUUGGAUAAUGGCGAGGGAAAUGUGACACCUUUACGGUGUGUUAUAGUCUUUCGUCGCAUGCAAGGGUCGGGAUUGAGGAACUCAGCACGCGCCCUCGGGCGUCGGGGUUUUUGCCCACGAUACGUGCUUAGGAUGUUGGCGUAAUGGCUUUAAACGACCCGUCUUGAAACACGGACCAAGGAGUCUAACAUGCCUGCGAGUGUUCGGGUGGAAAACCCGUGCGCGCAAUGAAAGUGAAAGUUGGGACCUCUGUCGUGGAGGGCACCGACGCCCGGACCAGACCUUUUGUGACGGCUCUGCGGUAGAGCAUGUAUGUUAGGACCCGAAAGAUGGUGAACUAUGCCUGAAUAGGGUGAAGCCAGAGGAAACUCUGGUGGAGGCUCGUAGCGAUUCUGACGUGCAAAUCGAUCGUCAAAUUUGGGUAUAGGGGCGAAAG
Molecule: ribosomal RNA, 886 nt
Filed under: Russula versicolor
Lineage: Eukaryota; Fungi; Basidiomycota; Agaricomycetes; Russulales; Russulaceae
Description: LSU rRNA
Rfam family: Eukaryotic large subunit ribosomal RNA
Source: RNAcentral